RNAcentral lists this unclassified non-coding RNA (427 nucleotides) under fungal sp. Its description in RNAcentral is "partial internal transcribed spacer region". The stretch from base 1 to 46 matches the Rfam family "Eukaryotic small subunit ribosomal RNA", at positions 1786 to 1831 of the family's 1831-position model. Lineage: Eukaryota; Fungi. The record is from RNAcentral.
AAGUCGUAACAAGGUUUCCGUAGGUGAACCUGCGGAAGGAUCAUUAACAAAUUUAAAUGGAGUUAGCUUUGAAUGAUGGAGUAGUCUUGAGAACGAGCCUCUUCAGUUCAGAGUCCUCUUGGUGCCGCAAGGUACCCGGCAAGGCUGAGUUGCAGCUGUACUGUACAGUGCAGUCAGUGACUUGGCAAGCUGGGUAUGCUUGUGAAAAGCUGUAUUUCUAGAGAUUAGUUUCUUUAGAGAUACAUAACCAACAAGUAACCCGGGGUACUUUAAGGUGAAGUGCUUUAUUGUGCUUUGUCUUAGAGCCCUUCAAUAAUCCCUACUUUUUACCAUUUUACCCCUUUAUAAACUAUAAGACUGAUAUGACAUGAAAAUGUCAAAUACAAAAACUAUAAAACAACUCUUAACAAUGGAUAUCUAGGCUCUG